GUGUGGCAGUGACGCGGGCGGAAGUCGUCGCUCCGUGUCAGCAGAUAGGAAAUGGAGAGUGAAGGGGCCUCAUCGAUAGAUUAGCGGCGGUGAGAGUGAUCGAUUACUCUGUUGAUGGUGGACCGAUGCUGGUGAACGGAACCCAUGGAGCCCCAUGAGGAGAAACCCAUCAUCUACACGAUGGAGAACAAACCCAUAGUGACCUGUGCGGGCGAUCAGAACCUGCUCACAGCUCUGUACGGAUCACUGACCCAGCAGCUGCCCAGAGAGCCCAUGGAGUGGAGGAGGUCUUACGGACGAGCACCAAAGAUGAUCUAUCUGGAGGCUAAUUUUGUCCAGUUUAAGGAGGAACUGCUUCCUAAAGAGGGAAAUAAAGCGCUGCUGACGUUCCCCUUCCUGCACAUCUACUGGACCGACUGCUGCGUGAGUCUCACGUGAAACGCCCCGCACUCUUCUGUCUUUAAGACGGUUCUUUUGUCAUCCAGCAUCAGAGUCUGAUAGCUGCUGUCCUUCUGAUGCAGAGCUAGAGUUUACAGCUGCUAAAUGCAUAAAGUGUCCAACAUCCAGUACUUGUUUUUUUGGUUUAAUCAGUGCAGUAACCCUUUCAUUUUAAGUGCACUUGUUUUUGUUGGACUUUUCAGUGUGAGCACACAUUUAUACUACAGAGUGUCAUAGAAUAGUGCACUUAUGGCGGAAAAUAAGUUGCGCUGGGUCAGAACUGCAUUGUUGAGAGAAAAAGCACAGAUAAAUUGCAUCAGUG
This is a long non-coding RNA of Sinocyclocheilus anshuiensis, 760 nucleotides long. RefSeq lists it as uncharacterized. Lineage: Eukaryota; Metazoa; Chordata; Actinopteri; Cypriniformes; Cyprinidae. The record is from RefSeq and is a predicted model, not a curated record. The transcript has 3 exons.